AUACGGAGGGUGCAAGCGUUACUCGGAAUCACUGGGCGUAAAGCGCGCGCAGGCGGCCCGAUAAGUUGGAUGUGCAAGCCUACGGCUCAACCGUAGAACUGCAUCCAAAACUGGCGGGCUAGAGUCUGGGAGGGGAAGAUGGAAUUAGUUGUGUAGGGGUAAAAUCCGUAGAGAUAACUAGGAAUACCAAAAGCGAAGGCGAUCUUCUGGAACAGUACUGACGCUGAGGCGCGAAAGCGUGGGGAGCAAACAGGAUUAGAUACCCUAGUAGUCC
This 274-nucleotide ribosomal RNA is filed under the name uncultured bacterium. RNAcentral's name for it is "partial 16S ribosomal RNA". It matches the Rfam family "Bacterial small subunit ribosomal RNA", at positions 523 to 796 of the family's 1533-position model. The record is from RNAcentral.